Nicotiana attenuata is the source of this 96-nucleotide microRNA precursor. It matches the Rfam family "MIR6152 microRNA precursor family". Lineage: Eukaryota; Viridiplantae; Streptophyta; Magnoliopsida; Solanales; Solanaceae. The record is from Rfam.
UGGACAGAUUAUUGUAUUCGACUGUAUUCACAGUGAGAAACAGGGGAUUAUAUUGUUUUUAAACGGACAGUGAAUCAAUUAACAUAAUAGACUCCU